CACGUAGGGGGCAAGCGUUGUCCGGAUUUAUUGGGCGUAAAGAGCUCGUAGGUGGUUCGGUAAGUCAGGUGUGAAACCUCCAGGCUCAACCUGGAGACGCCACUUGAUACUGCUGUGACUGGAGUCCGGUAGGGGAGCGUGGAAUUCCUGGUGUAGCGGUGAAAUGCGCAGAUAUCAGGAGGAACACCGGUGGCGAAGGCAGCUCGCUGGAACGGUACUGACGCUGAGGCGCGAAAGCGUGGGGAGCGAACAGG
RNAcentral lists this ribosomal RNA (254 nucleotides) under uncultured bacterium. RNAcentral's name for it is "partial 16S ribosomal RNA". It matches the Rfam family "Bacterial small subunit ribosomal RNA", at positions 524 to 776 of the family's 1533-position model. The record is from RNAcentral.